GUGAAUCAUCGAAUCUUUGAACGCAAAUUGCACUCCCUGGUAUUCCGGGGAGUAUGCCUGUUUGAGGGUCGUUAGAAGACAAAUCGAAGCAUCGCUCUUUUUUUUAAGGGUGAUCGCGUCGGAAUUGAUCCGUCUUUCAACUGUUAAUUCAUGUCAAAUUGUCUUGAAAUUCAUCCAUCCGGUACGAUUAAAGCGUAUUUAAGAUCAAUCUUGAUUAAGAACGCGCGAUGCCGUCCCAUCUCAUGUAUUACGUUUGCCUUCGCGUC
RNAcentral lists this unclassified non-coding RNA (266 nucleotides) under Funneliformis mosseae. Its description in RNAcentral is "partial contains 5.8S ribosomal RNA and internal transcribed spacer 2". The stretch from base 1 to 71 matches the Rfam family "5.8S ribosomal RNA", at positions 84 to 154 of the family's 154-position model. Lineage: Eukaryota; Fungi; Glomeromycota; Glomeromycetes; Glomerales; Glomeraceae. The record is from RNAcentral.